GCCGUAAACGAUGGGCACUUGGUGUUGGGGGUAUUGACCCCCUGGGUGCCGCAGCUAACGCAUUAAGUGCCCCGCCUGGGGACUGCGGCCGCAAGGUUAAAACUCAAAGGAAUUGACGGGGGCCCGCACAAGCGGUGGAGCAUGUGGUUCAAUUCGACGCAACGCGAAGAACCUUACCGGGGCUCGAACGGUAAUCGCUACUCCUGGAAACAGGGGAUUCUCUUCGGAGACGGUUAUCGAGGUGCUGCAUGGCUGUCGUCAGCUCGUGUCGUGAGACGUU
This 280-nucleotide ribosomal RNA is filed under the name uncultured bacterium. RNAcentral describes it as "partial 16S ribosomal RNA". It matches the Rfam family "Bacterial small subunit ribosomal RNA", at positions 799 to 1076 of the family's 1533-position model. The record is from RNAcentral.